GGGAAGAGCCCAAACCAACAAGCUUGCUUGUUGGGGUUGUAGGACACUCUAUACGGAGUUACAAAGGACGACAUUAGACGAAUCAUCUGGAAAGAUGAAUCAAAGAAGGUAAUAAUCCUGUAGUCGAAAAUGUUGUCUCUCUUGAGUGGAUCCUGAGUACGACGGAGCACGUGAAAUUCCGUCGGAAUCUGGGAGGACCAUCUCCUAAGGCUAAAUACUCUCUAGUGACCGAUAGUGAACCAGUACCGUGAGGGAAAGGUGAAAAGCACCCCGGAAGGGGAGUGAAAUAGAACCUGAAACCGUGUGCUUACAAGUAGUCAGAGCCCGUUAAUGGGUGAUGGCGUGCCUUUUGUAGAAUGAACCGGCGAGUUACGAUUUGAUGCAAGGUUAAGCAGUAAAUGUGGAGCCGUAGCGAAAGCGAGUCUGAAUAGGGCGUUUAGUAUUUGGUCGUAGACCCGAAACCAGGUGAUCUACCCUUGGUCAGGUUGAAGUUCAGGUAACACUGAAUGGAGGACCGAACCGACUUACGUUGAAAAGUGAGCGGAUGAACUGAGGGUAGCGGAGAAAUUCCAAUCGAACCUGGAGAUAGCUGGUUCUCUCCGAAAUAGCUUUAGGGCUAGCCUCAAGUGAUGAUUAUUGGAGGUAGAGCACUGUUUGGACGAGGGGCCCCUCUCGGGUUACCGAAUUCAGACAAACUCCGAAUG
Molecule: ribosomal RNA, 704 nt
Filed under: Staphylococcus aureus
Lineage: Bacteria; Bacillati; Bacillota; Bacilli; Caryophanales; Staphylococcaceae
Description: partial 23S ribosomal RNA
Rfam family: Bacterial large subunit ribosomal RNA
Source: RNAcentral